Molecule: ribosomal RNA, 499 nt
Filed under: uncultured bacterium
Lineage: Bacteria
Description: partial 16S ribosomal RNA
Rfam family: Bacterial small subunit ribosomal RNA
Source: RNAcentral
GACGAACGCUGGCGGCGUGCCUAAUACAUGCAAGUCGAGCGGACCAAACAGGAGCUUGCUCUUGUUUGGUUAGCGGCGGACGGGUGAGUAACACGUGGGUAACCUGCCCGUAAGACCGGGAUAACUCCGGGAAACCGGAGCUAAUACCGGAUAACACCGAAGACCGCAUGGUCUUUGGUUGAAAGGCGGCUUCGGCUGCCACUUACGGAUGGGCCCGCGGCGCAUUAGCUAGUUGGUGAGGUAACGGCUCACCAAGGCGACGAUGCGUAGCCGGCCUGAGAGGGUGACCGGCCACACUGGGACUGAGACACGGCCCAGACUCCUACGGGAGGCAGCAGUAGGGAAUCUUCCGCAAUGGACGAAAGUCUGACGGAGCGACGCCGCGUGAGCGAAGAAGGUCUUCGGAUCGUAAAGCUCUGUUGUUAGGGAAGAAGAAGCGCCGUUCGAACAGGGCGGCGCGGUGACGGUACCUAACGAGAAAGCCCCGGCUAACUACGUG